This is a non-coding RNA of Acanthosepion pharaonis, 96 nucleotides long. Lineage: Eukaryota; Metazoa; Mollusca; Cephalopoda; Sepiida; Sepiidae. The record is from the annotation of a GenBank genome assembly.
UUGAAACACUGGUUCCCAUACGAUCACUGAAGUUAAGCAACAUCAAGACGAGUCAGUACCUAGAUGGGUGACCACUUGAGAAUAUCAGGCACUGUA